CUUUCCGUAGGUGAACCUGCGGAAGGAUCAUUG
RNAcentral lists this ribosomal RNA (33 nucleotides) under Dianthus illyricus. RNAcentral describes it as "Petrorhagia illyrica partial 18S ribosomal RNA". The record is from RNAcentral. Lineage: Eukaryota; Viridiplantae; Streptophyta; Magnoliopsida; Caryophyllales; Caryophyllaceae.